CCACUGGCGAGGAUACAGACAGCGCCGCGCUUAUCUCCGGAGACUGAACUAUUUAUACCGGAACGUUGGCGCCGUCGUCAAGAUCCAGUCGUUGGUCAGAAUGUGGCUCGCCCGCA
Nanorana parkeri is the source of this 116-nucleotide long non-coding RNA. RefSeq lists it as uncharacterized. NCBI's taxonomy places the organism in Eukaryota, Metazoa, Chordata, Amphibia, Anura, Dicroglossidae. The transcript is spliced from 2 exons. The record is from RefSeq and is a predicted model, not a curated record.